RNAcentral lists this ribosomal RNA (650 nucleotides) under Bacillus thuringiensis. RNAcentral describes it as "bacterial SSU rRNA". It matches the Rfam family "Bacterial small subunit ribosomal RNA", at positions 51 to 682 of the family's 1533-position model. The record is from RNAcentral. Lineage: Bacteria; Bacillati; Bacillota; Bacilli; Caryophanales; Bacillaceae.
AUACAUGCAGUCGAGCGAAUGGAUUGAGAGCUUGCUCUCAAGAAGUUAGCGGCGGACGGGUGAGUAACACGUGGGUAACCUGCCCAUAAGACUGGGAUAACUCCGGGAAACCGGGGCUAAUACCGGAUAACAUUUUGAACUGCAUGGUUCGAAAUUGAAAGGCGGCUUCGGCUGUCACUUAUGGAUGGACCCGCGUCGCAUUAGCUAGUUGGUGAGGUAACGGCUCACCAAGGCAACGAUGCGUAGCCGACCUGAGAGGGUGAUCGGCCACACUGGGACUGAGACACGGCCCAGACUCCUACGGGAGGCAGCAGUAGGGAAUCUUCCGCAAUGGACGAAAGUCUGACGGAGCAACGCCGCGUGAGUGAUGAAGGCUUUCGGGUCGUAAAACUCUGUUGUUAGGGAAGAACAAGUGCUAGUUGAAUAAGCUGGCACCUUGACGGUACCUAACCAGAAAGCCACGGCUAACUACGUGCCAGCAGCCGCGGUAAUACGUAGGUGGCAAGCGUUAUCCGGAAUUAUUGGGCGUAAAGCGCGCGCAGGUGGUUUCUUAAGUCUGAUGUGAAAGCCCACGGCUCAACCGUGGAGGGUCAUUGGAAACUGGGAGACUUGAGUGCAGAAGAGGAAAGUGGAAUUCCAUGUGUAGCGGU